UACGUAGGACCCAAGCGUUAUCCGGAAUCACUGGGCGUAAAGCGUGUGUAGGUGGGAGUUUAAGUGAGAUGCGAAAUCCGGCGGCUCAACCGUUUGGACUGUAUCUCAUACUGGACACCUUGAGGAUGGCAGAGGCAAGUGGAAUUUGUAGUGUAGCAGUGAAAUGCGUAGAUAUUACAAGGAACACCAAUGGCGAAGGCAGCUUGCUGGGCCAUAUCUGACACUGAGACACGAAAGCGUGGGGAGCGAACAGG
RNAcentral lists this ribosomal RNA (254 nucleotides) under uncultured bacterium. RNAcentral's name for it is "partial 16S ribosomal RNA". It matches the Rfam family "Bacterial small subunit ribosomal RNA", at positions 524 to 776 of the family's 1533-position model. The record is from RNAcentral.